Molecule: non-coding RNA, 442 nt
Organism: Chiloscyllium plagiosum (whitespotted bambooshark)
Lineage: Eukaryota; Metazoa; Chordata; Chondrichthyes; Orectolobiformes; Hemiscylliidae
Source: RefSeq, a predicted model, not a curated record
CUCCCUCAGUACUGACCCCCCCUGACAGUGCUGCUCUGGAUGUAUCAAGCGAGAUUAGUUGUUCCUUUGGGUCCGGUCCCCUGCUGAGCUGUGAACCCCUGGGCCAGGCUGAGGGAGCGUGAGCGUCACACCGAGCCAGCGUCUGGCUCAAAGCUGAGCCUCCUCGGAGUGACUGGGCUGCUGAGUGAGAUCGGAGCCAACUCUCGGUCUGCCUUUUCUGUUUGAUGUUCCCCUUCCAGGAGCGUAUCUUGCCUGACGCUGGUCCAGGAACAGAUUACAGACCAUGUUCCAACUUGCUGUCACCUGCCUGGCCCUCUCGAGCUGUUUCCACCUGGCAGCAGCUAGUACCAUAGACACUGCCCUCCAGAUCGACGAUGAGGGUGCAAUGCGGGCCCAAUUCAAGGAUUUUAUGGUGAAAUACAAGAAGGAAUAUGACAAUGAG